AGGACUCCAAUGAGGGCGUGAUAAUACCAAGUUAUAUGACUCUUAAGGGUUACAGCUGCAAAUUUAGCGAAGCAAAAAUAGCUUGAAAGGUUAGCAUGCUGGAAUGCUAAUAUUUUUUCCUAACCGUUAUUUUUCACCAAUGACAAUCAGCCAAUUAUAAUGCUUUUAAAAUAGGCAGCUGUGUGGGCUGCUUUGAGGUCCUUCUACCCCCAUUGGGGUCCUUCAGGCAUUAGAGGGGCUGUCACGCCAAAUGUCUUCCGGGUGGAAGGUUUUUGUAGGGGGAAAGAAAUUUGGCGUGACAGCACCUAUCAAAUACACAGUUAUAAAAACACAGUUGUUCUACUAACUGUACUGUGCUUGCUGGGUACUAAAAAACAACAACACUUACCUUUCACUAUUUGAGUAACCUUUGUUCUGCCAUUUAUUUCUUCAUUUUGCUUGUCGACGGUGUAAUAUAUUGGGUUGGAGUCAAUAACCAGGUGAGGUGAUGGAGUUACGUCUCUUUACUGUGGGCUUCAGUCAGAACAGACUCCCUCACUUGCCGUCAGGUGCCCAACACCAUGUAAAUCGUUGGACAAUCAAAAAGCAACCCCAUAACGCUAUAGCCAACAUUCACCAGGAGAUGGCAAGAGACAACAUAGAAUCACUCUAUUACAGACGGCGUCGCCAUGGCUGUAACUUCCUCGUUCUCCUGCUUCGCGUCCUUGUGUGUGCAGUUUUUUAUUCAAAUCCGUAGAUGUUGUAACGUGAUUGGGCGUGGCCUCCAGCUCCAGCUAAAUUUCGGGAGAUUUUCGGGAGGAAAUUUCUUCCGGGAGGUUUUCGGGAAAGGCGCUGAAUUUCGGGAGUCUCCCGGAAUAUCCGGUAGGGUUGGCCAGUAUGUCUAUCGAGUAGCUGGUCUAAGAAGUAUUAGGAGCAAUGUUCAUAUGUUGUUAAUAUUCAGUUUUUUAUUGUUCAUAGUUAAUAUUGUAAAUCCCACUUUCUUUAUUUUCAUGUAUAUUUUGGGUGUCCCAUUUAGUAAAAAACUGUAAAAUUCUAUUCCGUUUUUUUGAAGUGGUCUAUCAUUACAUUUUUAGAAUUGUAUCGGACAUUGUGACUUUUGGUAUUAGUGUUCCUAAAAAAAAGGCACCCAAACACUCAUACUGUACAACACAUUUUUACAGCUAAAUGUUUAUAUAUCAUUCAUACACACAUACGCAUUGGUCCCCCAGACACAUUUUUUCUCUCAAUGUGGCCCCCAGGUCAAAAUAUUGGCCCAACUCUGUUCUAGAGGGAGAACAACAAUACACCACUUUUAGGAUUUACUAGACAAUGCUAAAAUUAUGUGUGCACUCUCAUGUUUGCUAAUGGCAAAACCUUAAACCUGCACAAAGGACUACACUUUAAGAGCAUGAAUAAGAACACAUACUUAGGUAACUUUAUCUUAAUUCAAUUGAAGUUCUCUAAAUGAGAACACAGAGUAACUCCUGAUGACACAUAAGAACACACAGGAGGGGAAAACCUGUCCAAUGUGUUACAGGCAGCAUUUAAAAUUGGCACUGCACAUAUUGGAGAAACACACGUGAAUUGAAAACAACAGAGCUUUUCAUUGUUCUUGUUUAUUUAACUGAAUAAAAUGCACGUUGUAACACAUCUCAACCAUGUGUACCCAUCUCUUAAUGAAUGAACCCUUGUUAAAUUGUAAAUUGGAUCUGAAAUAAAUUAAUACAUUAUUUUGUAAUCAAGAAUAGAGUAAAAAGAAGGCAUACAGAAGAACUGCUACUCCCCCUAGUGUUUGUGACAUGUUUCUGCAGGAACAUGAAGAAACAUGUAACCACACAUUGGCCAAUAGAUGGCAGUGUCCAGCUAAACAUUCACCUAGUGACCGUCUCGAUAUCCAGAUAUACGCACCAUGGUGAUAAUACACUCCUUUUAGUGUUUAAAAAGAAAAAUAUUUUUUCUGAAAUAAGUUGUAUACCAAUUAGCAUUUAUUUCCUUGCUUCUUUAACAGUUGAAAUGUCAUUUGCUUCACACCCACGGCAAUCCACAGUCAUUUGAUUGUUGUUACCAAUGAUAAUACAGCUGCUAUGGUCAAUAUGAGUAUUUGGAUACACACUGGGAAAGCCCACUGAGUUGUCGUGGAUGUUGAGUUUUCCAAACUUAUAUGCUGCUUCCUGCCUCUGUGUUCUCUGCUCUCCUGACCAAAUUUUUUUCUGUCUAUUGAUUUUUGGUAAUGAAAAAAACUUUUUAAUUUUUUUCUCAGUCCAUUUGCUCUCCUCGAGGGGAACCAAAUUCUGUAGCACCGCAGACCAUCUAUGUCUGGGCAUUUGGUUUUCCUUUGGAACCAAAGGUAUGACUGUAUUGUACUUGUGUACAUUGUUAAUGGAGUGUGUCAGGGCUGUGUAGGUCUUCACCUCCAACAUGCGUGUGUUGAAGUUUUGAGUGAGCAGCAGCAGAGUGAAUGCUGAGUUGUUGAUCGCGUCCUCUACACACUUUAGGGUGCUCUUUCCAGGUAUGGCAAAGUCCUCAGAGAAAGUUGCACCGUUAUGACCGAUCAUAGUUUCUAAGUUCAACUUCAUGAGCUCUGCUACUUCAGCAUCUUCUGGAGCAUGUAAGAUGACAAAUGAGUAAAAUAUGGCCUCCUCCUCCUCUUGUGCACUCUUUGGUUGAAUGUUGCUUGUUGCAGAAGUGGUCGGUGGGGUUCUUUGGUUCGGAGGUUCUUCCUUAUUGAAAUCCUCAUCCUUUCUGUGAUCCCUUUCAGAUGCCACAUCCAUCUUUGAGUCUUCAUGGACAGGUGGGCCACUGCUCCUUGGUUGUGACCACACAGAUGAGAGAUCAGCCACAUGCUUGGCGAGGUUGUGGUCCUCCAGCAAGCAGAGUUUGUCCAGAGCUUCUUUUUUACGAAGAACAAUCAAACAUAAGGCAUGUACGAUAUUCUCUUCUGGAGAAUCCCCAAGCUGAAAUGUCAGGCUCAACACUUGCUCCGGUGAGACGCUGACCAGUACGUCAUAGACAUCCCUUAGGCCUGUGCCGUCAGAUACCUCCUCUUGAUUCAUUUUUUCUUUCCUUCGCAAUUGUGCAGAAAAUCACGCUUUCUUGUUUGUUGUCAAAUGUGGUGCACCAUUUCCAAAUCAGGCUGGUUUCUAAGAAAGAAUUGAUAACAUUCGAGACAAACAUUCAAAUGAAAUGUGAAGACGCAGCUUGAAUGCAACUUUGAAUUAUUUGUACAUGUUGACCUUUGAGCAAGUUCCCUACUGAAAAAUUAAACACAUGUUGGUAGUUA
Long non-coding RNA from Nerophis ophidion (straightnose pipefish), 3259 nucleotides. RefSeq lists it as uncharacterized. Lineage: Eukaryota; Metazoa; Chordata; Actinopteri; Syngnathiformes; Syngnathidae. The transcript has 2 exons. The record is from RefSeq and is a predicted model, not a curated record.